CAUGUGUAGCGGUGAAAUGCGUAGAUAUAUGGAGGAACACCAGUGGCGAAAGCGGCUCUCUGGUCUGUCACUGACGCUGAGGCUNGAAAGCGUGGGUAGCGAACAGGAUUAGAUACCCUGGUAGUCCACGCCGUAAACGAUGAGUGCUAGGUGUUAGGCCCUUUCCGGGGCUUAGUGCCGGAGCUAACGCAAUAAGCACUCCGCCUGGGGAGUACGACCGCAAGGUUGAAACUCAAAGGAAUUGACGGGGGCCCGCACAAGCGGUGGAGCAUGUGGUUUAAUUCGAAGCAACGCGAAGAACCUUACCAGGUCUUGACAUCCCGAUGCUAUUCUUAGAGAUAGGAAGUUACUUCGGUACAUCGGAGACAGGUGGUGCAUGGUUGUCGUCAGCUCGUGUCGUGAGAUGUUGGGUUAAGUCCCGCAACGAGCGCAACCCUUAUUGUAGUUGCCAUCAUUAAGUUGGGCACUCUAGCGAGACUGCCGGUAAUAAACCGGAGGAAGGUGGGGAUGACGUCAAAUCAUCAUGCCCCUUAUGACCUGGGCUACACACGUGCUACAAUGGUCGGUACAACGAGUUGCGAGCCGGUGACGGCAAGCUAAUCUCUGAAAGCCGAUCUCAGUUCGGAUUGGAGGCUGCAACUCGCCUCCAUGAAGUCGGAAUCGCUAGUAAUCGCGGAUCAGCACGCCGCGGUGAAUACGUUCCCGGGCCUUGUACACACCGCCCGUCACACCACGAGAGUUUGUAACACCCGAAGUCGGUGAGGUANCCUUUUAGGG
Molecule: ribosomal RNA, 777 nt
Filed under: uncultured bacterium
Lineage: Bacteria
Description: bacterial SSU rRNA
Rfam family: Bacterial small subunit ribosomal RNA
Source: RNAcentral